GACGAACGCUGGCGGCGUGCCUAACACAUGCAAGUCGAACGAGAUCCAUGGGAGCUUGCUCCCGGAAGAUCUAGUGGCGAACGGGUGAGUAACACGUGAGAAACCUGCCCUGGAGUGGGGAAUAACUCGGGGAAACUCGAGCUAAUACCGCAUACCCUCGGAUGGUCGCAUGGCCGACCGAGGAAAAGAUUUAUCGCUCUAGGAGGGUCUCGCGGCCUAUCAGCUAGUUGGUGGGGUAACGGCCUACCAAGGCAACGAUGGGUAGCUGGUUUGAGAGAACGAUCAGCCACACUGGGACUGAGACACGGCCCAGACUCCUACGGGAGGCAGCAGUGGGGAAUCUUGCGCAAUGGGCGAAAGCCUGACGCAGCAACGCCGCGUGCGGGAUGACGGCCUUCGUGGUUGUAAACCGCUUUCAGCAGGGACGAAAAUGACGGUACCUGCAGAAGAAGACCCCGGCUAACUACGUGCCAGCAGCCGCGGUAAU
Molecule: ribosomal RNA, 487 nt
Filed under: uncultured bacterium
Lineage: Bacteria
Description: bacterial SSU rRNA
Rfam family: Bacterial small subunit ribosomal RNA
Source: RNAcentral